UGAAACACGGAUCAAGGAGUCUAACAUGUGAACAAGCGAUUGAGCUUUUGACUAAGCUCAAACGCAAAAUGAAAGUGAAAUAUCGAGAUUGACCACCUCGAUAUGAGCGGGGAUUGUGCACCUUCUGGUGUACACGCACCCGCGGGCCACAUCAUCGGUUAGCUUGUUCAUUCUUCGGAAUGAACACUGCCGGGGUGUGGACCAAGAGUUGAUACGUUGUGACCCGAAAGAUGGUGAACUAUGCUUGGUCAAGAUGAAGCCAGGGGAAACCCUGGUGGAAGUCUGAAGCGAUUCUGACGUGCAAAUCGAUCGUAUGAAUCGAGUAUAGGAGCGAAAGACUAAUCGAACCAUCUAGUAGCUGGUUCCACCUGAAGUUUCCCUCAGGAUAGCUGGCACUAGAGGAAACGGAAUUUCAUCCGGUAAAGCGAAUGAUUAGAUGAAACGGGUCGUUGAAUGACUCGACCUAUUAUCAAACUUUCAAUGGGUGAGAAGUCUCGCUGUCUUUAUUGCAGUGUUGACUUUGAAUCCGAGUGCCCAGUGGGCCACUUUUGGUAAGCAGAACUGGCGAUGCGGGAUGAACCGCAAGUCGAGUUAAGGUGCCUAAACGGACGCACAUCAGACACCAUGAAAGGUGUUGAUUGCUUAAGACAGCAGGACGGUGGCCAUGGAAGUCGGCAUCCGCUAAGGAGUGUGUA
RNAcentral lists this ribosomal RNA (695 nucleotides) under Parasacculina shiinoi. Its description in RNAcentral is "partial 28S ribosomal RNA". It matches the Rfam family "Eukaryotic large subunit ribosomal RNA", at positions 655 to 1284 of the family's 3401-position model. Lineage: Eukaryota; Metazoa; Arthropoda; Thecostraca; Polyascidae. The record is from RNAcentral.